UGCGUAGGGUGCAAGCGUUAAUCGGAAUUACUGGGCGUAAAGCGUGCGCAGGCGGUUAUGUAAGACAGGUGUGAAAUCCCAGGGCUUAACCUUGGAACUGCAUUUGUGACUGCAUAGCUAGAGUACGGUAGAGGGGGAUGGAAUUCCGCGUGUAGCAGUGAAAUGCGUAGAUAUGCGGAGGAACACCGAUGGCGAAGGCAAUCCCCUGGACCUGUACUGACGCUCAUGCACGAAAGCGUGGGGAGCAAACAGG
This 253-nucleotide ribosomal RNA is filed under the name uncultured bacterium. RNAcentral's name for it is "partial 16S ribosomal RNA". It matches the Rfam family "Bacterial small subunit ribosomal RNA", at positions 524 to 776 of the family's 1533-position model. The record is from RNAcentral.